CUGUGAACUGCGAAUGGCUCAUUAAAUCAGUUAUCGUUUAUUUGAUAGUACCUUACUACAUGGAUACCUGUGGUAAUUCUAGAGCUAAUACAUGCUGAAAACCUCGACUUCGGAAGGGGUGUAUUUAUUAGAUAAAAAACCAAUGCCCUUCGGGGCUCCUUGGUGAAUCAUAAUAACUUAACGAAUCGCAUGGCCUUGCGCCGGCGAUGGUUCAUUCAAAUUUCUGCCCUAUCAACUUUCGAUGGUAGGAUAGUGGCCUACCAUGGUGGCAACGGGUAACGGGGAAUUAGGGUUCGAUUCCGGAGAGGGAGCCUGAGAAACGGCUACCACAUCCAAGGAAGGCAGCAGGCGCGCAAAUUACCCAAUCCCGACACGGGGAGGUAGUGACAAUAAAUACUGAUACGGGGCUCUUUUGGGUCUCGUAAUUGGAAUGAGUACAAUUUAAAUCCCUUAACGAGGAACAAUUGGAGGGCAAGUCUGGUGCCAGCAGCCGCGGUAAUUCCAGCUCCAAUAGCGUAUAUUAAAGUUGUUGCAGUUAAAAAGCUCGUAGUUGAACCUUGGGUCUGGCUGGCCGGUCCGCCUCACCGCGAGUACUGGUCCGGCUGGACCUUUCCUUCUGGGGAACCUCAUGGCCUUCACUGGCUGUGGGGGGAACCAGGACUUUUACUGUGAAAAAAUUAGAGUGUUCAAAGCAGGCCUUUGCUCGAAUACAUUAGCAUGGAAUAAUAGAAUAGGACGUGUGGUUCUAUUUUGUUGGUUUCUAGGACCGCCGUAAUGAUUAAUAGGGAUAGUCGGGGGCGUCAGUAUUCAGCUGUCAGAGGUGAAAUUCUUGGAUUUGCUGAAGACUAACUACUGCGAAAGCAUUCGCCAAGGAUGUUUUCAUUAAUCAGGGAACGAAAGUUAGGGGAUCGAAGACGAUCAGAUACCGUCGUAGUCUUAACCAUAAACUAUGCCGACUAGGGAUCGGACGGUGUUUCUAUUAUGACCCGUUCGGCACCUUACGAGAAAUCAAAGUUU
Molecule: ribosomal RNA, 1017 nt
Filed under: Aspergillus niger
Lineage: Eukaryota; Fungi; Ascomycota; Eurotiomycetes; Eurotiales; Aspergillaceae
Description: SSU rRNA
Rfam family: Eukaryotic small subunit ribosomal RNA
Source: RNAcentral